Molecule: ribosomal RNA, 1338 nt
Filed under: Alcithoe benthicola
Lineage: Eukaryota; Metazoa; Mollusca; Gastropoda; Neogastropoda; Volutidae
Description: 16S ribosomal RNA
Rfam family: Archaeal large subunit ribosomal RNA (bases 622-1338)
Source: RNAcentral
UUUAAUUAAAUACUAUUAAAACAUUUAAAAAUUUAGUAAUGGUGAUUGAAAAUUUGUAUAAUAUAUUUUAGUAAGUACUGCAAAGGAAGCAUUUAUAAUUAAGUAAAAGUAAAACUUUAGUUUGUACCUUUUGCAUCAUGGCCUAGCUAGAUUUAAACUUUAGUUAUAAGUUUCUUCGAAAUCUGAUGAGCUAUUUUCAUCUCUUAUAUUUAGUAAAAUUAAGAGUAGUUGUGGAAUAAACUUUCUGAAAGAUGAAAAUAGAAAUGAAAUUUUAUUCGUAUUAGAUGAUAGCUAGUUUUCCUGAAAGGUAUAAAAGUACUUCGAGUUAAGUUUUAGUCAUGAUUUAUAUUAUCAAGUAAUUUUUAACUCAGCAAAGUUAUUAAGGAUAAGCUUGUUAACAUAAGUUAAUAAUAGCACCUGAUUUAGUAUUAAAUCUAGGCUUGAAAAUAGCCACUAUAAGAGAUCUUGUUAUAAUUUCAUUUUAUAAGGAAAAUAUAAUAAAUCUGCUUUGUUAUUUAAUGGAAAGAACUACUAAGUAUGAUAUGCAAGUUAUACUAAUGCUAGGAUGAGUAUUAAUAAUAUAUACAUUUAUUAUAAAGUAAAUGCUAUAAACCUUUAAAUAGUGUUUUUAGGUUAAACUACUGUGAAGGAACUUGGCAAAAAAUAUUCUGCCUGUUUAUCAAAAACAUGGCUCCUUGACUAAAGAAAAUAGGGAGUCGGACCUGCCCGGUGAUAUAUUUUUAACGGCCGCGGUACUCUGACCGUGCAAAGGUAGCAUAAUCAUUUGCCUUAUAAUUGAAGGCUGGAAUGAAUGGUUUGACAAGAAUAAAACUGUCUCCUCAUAGCUUUAUAGAAUUUAAUUCUUAGGUGAAGAAGCCUAAAUGCAAUUGAAAGACAAGAAGACCCUAUCGAGCUUUAAAAAAAUUAAUAAAUAUAUAAAUAGUUUAUCAGAAUACUAGUUAUUAAGAAUUUUAGUUGGGGCGACAAAGGAACCAAAGAAGCUUCCUUUAUUAAGCAUUAAUAAAUUUCACAUAUUGAUCCAAAACUAUUUUGAUUAAAGGAAAUAGUUACCGUAGGGAUAACAGCAUAAUCUUUUCUGAGAGCUCCUAUCGAAGAAAAGGUUUGUGACCUCGAUGUUGGACCAGAAUAUCCUAAAGAUGCAGCAGUCUUUAAGGGUUGGUCUGUUCGACCAUUAAAAUUCUACGUGAUCUGAGUUCAGACCGGCGUGAGCCAGGUCAGUUUCUAUCUUCAAUUUAAUACUUAAGCUUAGUACGAAAGGACCAGCUUGUAGCAACUAUUAUUGCAAUUAAUGAAAAAAUAUAAUUAGAAAUUAAACCA